GGACUGCGGAGGGAUCAUUACASWMAUAUGAAGGCGGGCUGGAACCUCUCGGGGUUACAGCCUUGCUGAAUUAUUCACCCUUGUCUUUUGCGUACUUCUUGUUUCCUUGGUGGGUUCGCCCACCACUAGGACAAACAUAAACCUUUUGUAAUUGCAAUCAGCGUCAGUAACAAAUUAAUAAUUACAACUUUCAACAACGGAUCUCUUGGUUCUGGCAUCGAUGAAGAACGCAGCGAAAUGCGAUAAGUAGUGUGAAUUGCAGAAUUCAGUGAAUCAUCGAAUCUUUGAACGCACAUUGCGCCCUUUGGUAUUCCAAAGGGCAUGCCUGUUCGAGCGUCAUUUGUACCCUCAAGCUUUGCUUGGUGUUGGGCGUCUUGUCUCUAGCUUUGCUGGAGACUCGCCUUAAAGUAAUUGGCAGCCGGCCUACUGGUUUCGGAGCGCAGCACAAGUCGCACUCUCUAUCAGCAAAGGUCUAGCAUCCAUUAAGCCUUUUUUUCAACUUUUGACCUCGGAUCAGGUAGGGAUACCCGCKGAWCUUAAGCAUAUCAUAACCG
RNAcentral lists this ribosomal RNA (554 nucleotides) under Marssonina mali. RNAcentral's name for it is "eukaryotic LSU rRNA". The stretch from base 186 to 339 matches the Rfam family "5.8S ribosomal RNA". The record is from RNAcentral. Lineage: Eukaryota; Fungi; Ascomycota; Leotiomycetes; Helotiales; Dermateaceae.